AUACUCUCCUGGCAGGGGCAAUACCAUGAUCCAGGAAGGUGGUUUGCCCCAAGCGAGGCUCGGCCAUUGCACUUGGGCUGUGCCGACCUCUGCGAAAUGCUGGAAUCUCGACUAAAAUUUUCUGAUAGUGUGGGACUGCGUCUGUGCUCUAUUCUUUC
This is a small nuclear RNA of Hemibagrus wyckioides, 158 nucleotides long. RefSeq annotates it as U1 spliceosomal RNA. Lineage: Eukaryota; Metazoa; Chordata; Actinopteri; Siluriformes; Bagridae. The record is from RefSeq and is a predicted model, not a curated record. The transcript has a single exon.